UACGGAGGGUGCAAGCGUUAUCCGGAUUCACUGGGUUUAAAGGGUGCGUAGGCGGUCAGGCAAGUCAGUGGUGAAAUCCCCGAGCUUAACUUGGGAACUGCCAUUGAUACUAUUUGUCUUGAAUACUGUGGAGGUUAGCGGAAUAUGUAAUGUAGCGGUGAAAUGCUUAGAUAUGACAUAGAACACCAAUUGCGAAGGCAGCUGGCUAGACAAAUAUUGACACUGAUGCACGAAAGCGUGGGGAGCAAACAGG
RNAcentral lists this ribosomal RNA (253 nucleotides) under uncultured bacterium. RNAcentral's name for it is "partial 16S ribosomal RNA". It matches the Rfam family "Bacterial small subunit ribosomal RNA", at positions 524 to 776 of the family's 1533-position model. The record is from RNAcentral.